CUUGGGAUGGCCUGAACCAUCGCAGCCCUGAGUCAUAUGACACAGCAGUUUUCUUCAGCCCUGCCCGUGAGCUCCAACCAUCUCAGCUCCUUCAUGAUUGUUUCGUCAUCAUCACCAUCGUCACUGUCAUCAUCAUCAUCAUCACCACCAGUGAUUUCCUGAAUGCCAACCAAGCACCAGUCAUCAAGCGUGAGCCACGGUGCAAAGAUGGAGGCAGGCUCUCCAUUCUAAGGGAACCUCUCAGGCCAGUAGGGAAGGCAAGAUUCAGACACCAGGGACAGGCAGCCUGGGAUGACAGGUGGAACAAGGAGGAGACACAAGAACCCCCACCCCAACCCAGGAACCCACAUCACAGGCCAGACCUGCAUGAUCGCCAGGCACCCGACUCGGGUUAUGAAGGUGUCUCUCCUAAGAGAGUGGCAGAGGCAAACUUUAGCCUUGGCAGUGCGCCUCAAGCUGCUCAGGGGAGAAGUCACGGCCAAAGCCCUGGAGUGCAUGGGUUCUUUAGCCAUGGUUCUCCUGCAGCUUCCUCUGAUAUUAUGAAGCGCCUGCCGCCACCAGGCUUGUUCUGACUCCCUUCCAUGAUCCACCCUUCUGAGUGGGGUUUGGCUUCUGUACAGCUCUCCUGUGGGCACUGAGCCCACUAGUCAGAGCAAGAGGGCUCCAGUCUCUGGACAGUCACAGUGCUUGGUGGCAAAACAUAAAUUGUCAUUCAUUCAUGCCUUGUUUCUGUCAUUCACUCAUUCAUUCAGCAGAUACUUAACUGAACACCUGCUCUGGGCCAGGUAUUAUUCACACCACUGGGAAUACAGUGGUGCCAACACAGGUCCCUCCCUGACUUCAUGGGGCUAACAUUCCAGUGGGAGUGACAGAAAAGAUCCACAAAAUAACAUCACAUUGUGAAAAGUGCUAUGAAAGUGAAGGACGUAAGCACAGUAAUAUUAGUAAUAGAGUAGAGAGUGAGGAGGUGGUGAGCAAAGGCCUCAUAGAGGGAGUAACAUUUUUUCUUUAAUUUGAUGUAUACUUUACAUAUAGUAAAGUGCACAAAUCUUUUCUUUUUUUUUUUCUUUUUUUUUUUUUUUUUUUUUUGAGACAGAGUCUUGCUCUGUCGCCCAGGCUGGAGUGCAAUGGUAUGAUCUCGGUUCACUGUAACCUCCGCCUCCUGGGUUCAAGUGACUCUCCUGCCUCAGCCUCCCGAGUAGCUGAGACAAGAGGCUUGUGCCACCAUACCCGGCUAACUUUUGUAUUUUUAGUAGAGACGGGGUUUCACUAUGUUGGCCAGGCUGGUCUCGAACUCCUGACCUUGUGAUCCGCCCUCAUCAGCCUCCCAAAGUGUUGGGAUUACAGGCGUGAACCACUG
This 1360-nucleotide long non-coding RNA is filed under the name Homo sapiens (human). Its description in RNAcentral is "PREDICTED lncRNA (TCONS_00154413)". Lineage: Eukaryota; Metazoa; Chordata; Mammalia; Primates; Hominidae. The record is from RNAcentral.